GAUGAACGCUGGCGGCGUGCCUAAUACAUGCAAGUCGAGCGAACAGACGAGGAGCUUGCUCCUCUGACGUUAGCGGCGGACGGGUGAGUAACACGUGGAUAACCUACCUAUAAGACUGGGAUAACUUCGGGAAACCGGAGCUAAUACCGGAUAAUAUAUUGAACCGCAUGGUUCAAUAGUGAAAGACGGUUUUGCUGUCACUUAUAGAUGGAUCCGCGCCGCAUUAGCUAGUUGGUAAGGUAACGGCUUACCAAGGCAACGAUGCGUAGCCGACCUGAGAGGGUGAUCGGCCACACUGGAGCGUGGACACGGUCCAGACUCCUACGGGAGGCAGCAGUAGGGAAUCGGCCGCAAUGGGCGAAAGCUUGACGGAGCAACGCCGCGUGAGUGAUGAAGGUCUUCGGAUCGUAAAACUCUGUUAUUAGGGAAGAACAAAUGUGUAAGUAACUAUGCACGUCUUGACGGUACCUAAUCAGAAAGCAACGGCUAACUACGUG
This 497-nucleotide ribosomal RNA is filed under the name uncultured bacterium. RNAcentral's name for it is "partial 16S ribosomal RNA". It matches the Rfam family "Bacterial small subunit ribosomal RNA", at positions 28 to 507 of the family's 1533-position model. The record is from RNAcentral.